This 301-nucleotide ribosomal RNA is filed under the name uncultured bacterium. RNAcentral's name for it is "partial 16S ribosomal RNA". It matches the Rfam family "Bacterial small subunit ribosomal RNA", at positions 509 to 807 of the family's 1533-position model. The record is from RNAcentral.
CAGCAGCCACGGUAAUACAGAGGGUGCGAGCGUUAAUCGGAUUUACUGGGCGUAAAGCGUGCGUAGGCGGCUUUUUAAGUCGGAUGUGAAAUCCCUGAGCUUAACUUAGGAAUUGCAUUCGAUACUGGGAAGCUAGAGUAUGGAAGAGGAUGGUAGAAUUCCAGGUGUAGCGGUGAAAUGCGUAGAGAUCUGGAGGAAUACCGAUGGCGAAGGCAGCCAUCUGGCCUAAUACUGACGCUGAGGUACGAAAGCAUGGGGAGCAAACAGGAUUAGAUACCCCUGUAGUCCCUGUCUCUUAUAC